This 744-nucleotide ribosomal RNA is filed under the name uncultured bacterium. RNAcentral's name for it is "bacterial SSU rRNA". It matches the Rfam family "Bacterial small subunit ribosomal RNA", at positions 8 to 796 of the family's 1533-position model. The record is from RNAcentral.
AGAGUUUGAUCCUGGCUCAGAACGAACGCUGGCGGCAGGCCUCAAACAUGCAAGUCUAGGGGGUGUAGCAAUACAUCACCGGCGGACGGGUGCGUAACGCGUGGGAAUGUACCUAUUGGUUCGGAACAACUGAGGGAAACUUCAGCUAAUACCGGAUGAGCCCGAAAGGGGAAAGAUUUCUCGCCAAUGGAUCAGCCCGCGUCCGAUUAGCUAGUUGGUGGGGUAAUGGCCUACCAAGGCUACGAUCGGUAGCUGUUCUGAGAGGAAGAUCAGCCACACUGGGACUGAGACACGGCCCAGACUCCUACGGGAGGCAGCAGUUGGGAAUCUUGGACAAUGGGGGAAACCCUGAUCCAGCCAUGCCGCGUGAGUGAUGAAGGCCUUCGGGUUGUAAAACUCUUUCGACGGGGACGAUAAUGACGGUACCCGUAGAAGAAGCUCCGGCUAACUUCGUGCCAGCAGCCGCGGUAAUACGAAGGGGGCUAGCGUUGUUCGGAAUUACUGGGCGUAAAGCGCGCGCAGGCGGUCUUCCAAGUCAGUGGUGAAAGCCCGGAGCUCAACUCCGGAACUGCCAUUGAAACUGUGAGACUGGAGUACGAGAGAGGUGAGUGGAAUUCCCAGUGUAGAGGUGAAAUUCGUAGAUAUUGGGAAGAACACCGGUGGCGAAGGCGGCUCACUGGCUCGUAACUGACGCUCAGGCGCGACAGCGUGGGGAUCAAACAGGAUUAGAUACCCUAGUAGUCC